RNAcentral lists this ribosomal RNA (162 nucleotides) under Triticum aestivum (bread wheat). RNAcentral's name for it is "partial small subunit ribosomal RNA". Lineage: Eukaryota; Viridiplantae; Streptophyta; Magnoliopsida; Poales; Poaceae. The record is from RNAcentral.
AUGUUUCCCGAGAGAGACUGCCUUCUCUCAGGCCAUCAGUCUUAUCCUUAUAGUCGACUGCUCUAUGACGAUCUGACCUCUUUCCUGGGCUCUGCUUGCUCGUCUACGCUCCGACCAAUUCAGUCAAAAUCGAAAAAAUGAUGUUUCCUUGAAAAAGUCUAA